Taeniopygia guttata (zebra finch) is the source of this 1893-nucleotide non-coding RNA. The record is from RefSeq and is a predicted model, not a curated record. NCBI's taxonomy places the organism in Eukaryota, Metazoa, Chordata, Aves, Passeriformes, Estrildidae.
AGGGACCACUUUGAUUACAGAGGCAGGUUUGUCCUGGCUGCUAUCCAAGCUCUCAGUUUCUUGUAUUGCGAAAUUUUUCACAGCUCCUUCUGUUACUGUAAAGAUGUUACAGUAAUGUUCAAUCUGAGCAUACCACUUUCUUACCGAGGCCCUCUGGGCCACCCCGUCAGGAGGGGGGGUCCCAGUAGUGACUGUCUUAGUAUCAUUGAAAGGGCUUCUCAAUACAAUUGGUAGUUGUAGUGCAAGUCUUUCCACUUCAAUGAGAGCCAGGCUGACCACAAACAAUCCCUUUUCCCAGGUAGUGUACCUUUUCUCAGCAUCUCUGAAACCAUGGGAAUAGAAACCAACAGGCAUUGUUGGACCCUCGGGUCCCCGCUGCCAAAUGUGUACUGACAAUCCUGAGACAGCAAAUCCCCAUUCUACCUGAAAGGGGACUGUAGGAUGAAUAGGGCCCAGUGCUUGAUGAGCAGUUGCUUCAAAAAUCAGUAAUUGCAAUGCUUCUUCCUGAGAAGGAGUUUUACCCCUUUCCUUAGCAAGUCAUAAAGGGGCCUAGCAAUUAUUGAGAAAUCUGGAAUGUGUUUUCUCCAAAACACUAAUAAUCCCAGAGCCUGUUGUAGAUCUUUCCUGGAAUGAGGCAUUUUAAUCUGAUCUAAAGAAGUUAAGGUAUCAGGUGGAAUACAUGUCAUGCCUCCUUUCCACCAAAUCCCCAGAAACUUUACUUCUUGAGAGGGUUUUUGAACCUUUUCUGGGGGGAUCUGUAAAUCGAGACUCUCUAAAUGGGAGAUUAUUUUCUGUUGAGUCUCUCUUACUGCUUCAAUUUCAUCCCCUCCCACCAAAAUAUCAUCAAUGUAUUGAUACACUGCUACAUCAUCAGGUUUGGAUAUCUCCUCUAGUUCUUUAGCUAAGGCAUGGUGGGCUAAGGUGGGUGAAUGCUUGUAUCCUUGUGGGAGUCUAGUGGAAGUGUAUUGCUGUCCUUCCCACGUAAAGGCAAAACGGUCCAUGUCUUCUGGUUGUAAUGGUAUCAUAAAGAACAUAUCUUUGACAUCUAUAGUUGCCAUAAUUGGAUGAGCUUUUUCUUGAAUAGAUGUUAUUAAUUCUGCUAAGUUUGGGACCGCUGCUGUGAGAGGAUCUGUGUUGGCAUUAAGCCUGCGAAAAUCGACUGUCAGUCUCCAUUUCCCAUUAGGUUUUCGGACUGGCCAGACGGGUGAGUUGAGGCUGGGGCUGGGGCUGGGGCAGCCAGCCCGACACAACCAAACCCCCAUGGUGGGAGCAGAGGUGGGACUCCAGACCCUGUGCAGGGGCUGCUUUGCUUUGCAGGCAAGGAAGGGCUUGGGCUGCUCCUCUGCCCUUGUUUGCUUUGGGAACACCAUGGGGGCAGUGCAGAGAGAAGGGAGAAAGCCUGGGAUUCCCUCACCCAUGGUGGGUUUUUCCCUGGCAAGCAGGGGUUGGACCUUCCUCAAGUCCCUGACAGAGAUAAGAUUUUUGACCUUUAUCCUCACUCCUCUUUUUGUCUGUAAUCUAUUUUCAGUAAUUCGAUGUUUGUUUUUCUAGAGGAAGCGUUCUAUGUAAGGUCCAGUCUGGAUCAGGAAGUGCUUGGGAGCAGCUGCGGCGUGGAUGGGCCGUGCCCUUGGAGAAGGCUGAGGACAUCGUUUGGGACCAGCUUUUCUCCCAGCGGUGGAUGGCGUGAGCCGGGCUCUGCGGGUGCUGAGGCUGCUCUGGGCCCUGCCAGGGCUCUGCUGGAGCUCAGCACCGGGCUGCAAUCAGCAAAAGGAGAAAUGGGGUGCCCUGCAGCACAGACUUGCUUGAGCAUUUCAGCAACACAGUUCAAGUCUGCAGAGUGUACACCUCCAAGGGAAAACAUGGCACCACCCAAAAAAUAAACUUGUUCAAUAA